GGAGAUUUACCCAAGAGGUCGAAGGGGCUCCCCUGCUAAGGGAGUAGUCCGGGAAACUGGAGCGAGGGUUCAAAUCCCUCAAUCUCCGCCA
Molecule: transfer RNA, 91 nt
Filed under: Clostridiales bacterium
Lineage: Bacteria; Bacillati; Bacillota; Clostridia; Eubacteriales
Description: tRNA-Ser
Rfam family: tRNA
About the family: Transfer RNA (tRNA) molecules are approximately 80 nucleotides in length. Their secondary structure includes four short double-helical elements and three loops (D, anti-codon, and T loops).
Source: RNAcentral